Long non-coding RNA from Candoia aspera, 849 nucleotides. RefSeq lists it as uncharacterized. The transcript is spliced from 3 exons. The record is from RefSeq and is a predicted model, not a curated record. NCBI's taxonomy places the organism in Eukaryota, Metazoa, Chordata, Lepidosauria, Squamata, Candoiidae.
UCUUCCUCACCAUUGGUUUUUUUUUUUUUCCUGGUUCUUUUGUCAAAUUGGAACUAAGUUGCCGCCAUGGGUCCAGGAGGAGGUUCCCCCCUUGAGCUGAGAAAUUACCAGCAAGGGAAGAGACCACCACAGCAAAGCCUCGCCAGUGCUUGGUUAGGCUGACCCACAGGAUGGGACUUCUGGAGCUUCGUGACAACAUGAGAGCCUUAAAAGAGGAGAGGCAGUGUCACAGCAACCUGUGAAUGUAAAUUUUCAGGCAGAUGGAACAAGGAGACAGCAAGGGGGGCACUGGUAGGUGUCCCUGUUCUCAAAAGCAUCCCUGUGGGAGGGAGGCCAGGAGGAGGAGUGCUGCCCCUACAGGCGUUGCAGGCACAGCUACAGUGCUGUGUUUGUGUCAGUAGGUGGCACAGAGAAGCAGGCUAGGUCUACGCUCAGUGCUCUGGUGGGUGGGCACUCAGAAUGAUUACUAGCCUGACAAAGCUACAUGCUUUCUUUCAGUCUCUUUUUGGAGGGGUGUAGGAGCCGAUCUCAGAUUAUGUGAUUAAGUCUGGAUUGUAUGGUGAGAAAGGAGGCAAUCAUCUUGUCAACUGUGUUUCCAAGGAUACCAAGUUCACCAUUUUAUCAGAUGGUCAGGAACAUUGCCAUUUAUGGUAUCUUAUGGCUCUUGUAACUUUAGAAAAGGCAAGUCAGUCUUAAAGAAUAUUCAUCAAGUUUCUGUUGAUCUAUAUUAGGAACUUUCAAAAUUCAUAUUUUUGUUUUUACUGAAUAAUUGGAACGAUCUUUAGAACCCAAAUGAGCUAAACCAUUUCAUAUUUGCAGGAACAUGUUGCUGGCCCUUCAACAUGUGCU